CACGCGAGCACACCCUUCCCUCUCCUUUUUUGCACAAACCCCCCUCUCUGUCUCUCUCCUCUGUAACUCUGGAAAAACCCUUCCAUGGACGAUUUUCUAGAGAGAGAGAGAGAGGAGAGAGGGGCUCCAAGAAGCGCCCGAGAAGCAGACGCUAGGAGAGUAAAAGAGAUAGAAUUCUAAGAGUCAAAUGAGUUCUCUGUGUAACUUUGUGACUGCUCGAGUUUGACAAGAGUGCGGACAAUACCUGGAAGAACCCAAGUUCCUUGCAGGCCACGCGAACCUCGUCAACCACCCUAGAUCUACGAGAAGGGUGGUUUAAAGAGGAAACAUCGAUAGUGGGCAGGGCGAUGAAGGGUUGCAGGGAAAGACUAGGGUUUGGGCGUUGUGAUGGUGGAAGAACAAAUUGUUCAGGGAGAAGGGGUACUCCCAUUUUGGCAAGUGACAUUACACUAGUAAAUGUAUCAGCUGGUAUCACUCUCUUCUCUGCCAUUUUCUCUCUUUCUCUCUCUCGUGUAUGAUCUUCAUGUCCUAGUGAGUUUUCCUAUUUAUAGCUGAAAAAAGCAAAUGCUGUGAAAUUAAUUUGACCUCAAGAUAUCACCAUCACGCACAGUUACAAUGAA
Molecule: long non-coding RNA, 620 nt
Organism: Cornus florida
Lineage: Eukaryota; Viridiplantae; Streptophyta; Magnoliopsida; Cornales; Cornaceae
Exons: 2
Source: RefSeq, a predicted model, not a curated record